UAAUACGUAGGGUGCGAGCGUUAAUCGGAAUUACUGGGCGUAAAGCGUGCGCAGGCGGUUUGAUAAGCCAGAUGUGAAAUCCCCGAGCUCAACUUGGGAACUGCGUUUGGAACUGUCAGACUAGAGUGCGUCAGAGGGGGGUGGAAUUCCGCGUGUAGCAGUGAAAUGCGUAGAGAUUUGGAGGAACACCGAUGGCGAAGGCAGCCCCCUGGGAUAAAACUGACGCUCAGGCACGAAAGCGUGGGUAGCAAACAGG
RNAcentral lists this ribosomal RNA (256 nucleotides) under uncultured bacterium. RNAcentral describes it as "partial 16S ribosomal RNA". It matches the Rfam family "Bacterial small subunit ribosomal RNA", at positions 521 to 776 of the family's 1533-position model. The record is from RNAcentral.